GCCGUCACAGUCCCUGGGUGUUUGGAGCUGUCAAAGGAUAAUGAGAUCCCGUCACACCUUCGUGGAUAAAAAGGUUGUCCAACUCAACAGAGUAACCAUCGCUUUUUGGAAGCAAAGGGAAGACAGACGACCGAGAAAUCAUCAGUCAGACACGACUCUAGUUCAUUUUGAAACGCUUCACAAUCAUGAACCCCAGAGUGUUAAUGUUCAGCUUGACCUUCACCUUGCUGGCUCUGAGCACCCUGACCUUAGCCCAGGGAGAAAAAGGUCAGGAGGAAGACGCAGAGGUCAGGGCCACCGCGGACGACCUGAGAGACACUCUUGACCUAAUCAGGGAGCUCUCAAGCACUUCACGCCGCGAGCUGGUCAAGCGAGGAUGGGCAAGCAAGACGUGGAAGAAAGCCAAACCACACGUUAUCAAGGCCGCCGUUAGUAAAGGAGCUGCGGCUCUCGCUGGCUGAGCUUGUCCAGCGAUCCGCGGGAGAAAUGAAUGAAUGAAUGAAUGAAUGAAUGACUAAAUGAAUGAAUGAAUUAAUUAAUUAAUUAAUUAAUUAAUUAACACAGAAUCUACCAAGAUAUCAAAAUAAAUCAAAGCACAUUAUAACAAAUACAACAGAGUCUACAACGUUUGUUGAUUUCAAAGAGGAGAAUUUCUCUACAAGACUUUGGAUGUUCAUUUCUGUUCUUACUAUAAGUUGAUCUUUAUUUUUGUUUUUGUUCUUUGUUUUGUCUAUGAAUUGAUCUGCAUUUUCCACUUUCAUUCUUUCUAUGAAUUGAUCGGUAUUUUCUACUCUUAUUCUUUCUAUUGAUUGAUCUUUUUUAGUUGCUUUAUAUUUUGCUUUCUGCUCUUUCAAGGAAUUUAUCUUUUUUAAUUGUUGCUCUUGUAGCUGUUGUUGUUGUUGUUGUUGUUGUUGUUGUUGUUGUUGUUGUUGUUGUUGUUGUUGUUGUUGUUGUUGUUGUUGAUGUUGUUGGGUUAUUUUUCCUUUUUUGUGGUUUAUUUCUUCGUCUCAUAACCUGAUUUGGUGCUGAAUAUUGGUACGUUAUUGAUAAAAUGUGAUAAUGUAGUAGUUUUUGUUAGAGUCAGCUUGUUCAGAAUAACAACAACAAAAAUA
Molecule: long non-coding RNA, 1112 nt
Organism: Aplysia californica (California sea hare)
Lineage: Eukaryota; Metazoa; Mollusca; Gastropoda; Aplysiida; Aplysiidae
Exons: 2
Source: RefSeq, a predicted model, not a curated record